CUCUGUGUCAAGUACACUAUUUUCUGGAAUGUCAAAAAAAAAAAAAGGAUGCUUUUGCCACCACUGAUCACUGUGUACCACUGAAAGAACAAUCCUUUGACGGUGUGAAGGGACCGCCAUUUCUGAAUCCACACCCCAUCCUACGUUCCUGCCCCAACAACGGCGGGUUGACGUCUUGCAACGUCCUAGUUGCCAUGGCUACAGAUGCACGCAAAAACGGACCGCAAUCCCUGCCCUCCUGGAGCGCGCAGUCCAGGGGCGGAGACAGACAGCAAAAUCGCGAGGAGACUAUGUACUGUGCGAGAAGGUGAGAAGGAAACAGGCGUGGAGAGGUGACAUAACGGGCCCAGGAACUCCCAGGCUGCAGUGGUUGGAAUGAACCCAGGCCCGUGUGGCUGCAAAAUUCUUUCACCUACACCGCCCGCCACGAAGCCUCACCUGAAAACUUCCAUGACUUACACGGGACCUAAAUUUGCUGUUUUCUGAAAAAUGCUUGCAAACAUAAAAAACAAUGGAUAGUUUACAUUGAGGACACGUCUGAAAAUGAAAGGACAGACCCAAAGAGGCACAUGAGACUGAGGCUGCUGCUAAUUUUCCGCUAGCCAAGUAGGAGCUGCACAGCCCUAAUGAUGGACUCCUUCUGAAUUGAAUUAAUGAAUUUUGUGACUCAUUAUUAUUCUUUUAAAAAAGAAGCACGAGGAAGAACAAACGAACCAUCCUGACUGCCUCACCCCCUUUUCCUCUCUUGGCUACUCUCUUGUCACAUGUCCUUAUGAUGUUUGAAUUAAUUUAAAUAAUUUGAAGAAUUCAAAAUCAAUCCAUUGAUAAAUAUUUUUAUGCACCUAUUAUGUGCAAAGUGCCUACAAAGAGUCAAGUAACCUUGGGAAUUCUGGAGGGAUAUGUAUAUCACGUGAUGGUUCAUUAGGAACUUCCAUAUUCAGCUCAUC
Ailuropoda melanoleuca (giant panda) is the source of this 947-nucleotide long non-coding RNA. RefSeq lists it as uncharacterized. The record is from RefSeq and is a predicted model, not a curated record. The transcript has 3 exons. Lineage: Eukaryota; Metazoa; Chordata; Mammalia; Carnivora; Ursidae.